RNAcentral lists this ribosomal RNA (1218 nucleotides) under uncultured Rhizaria. Its description in RNAcentral is "SSU rRNA". It matches the Rfam family "Eukaryotic small subunit ribosomal RNA", at positions 577 to 1804 of the family's 1831-position model. The record is from RNAcentral.
CGGUAAUUCCAGCUCCAAUAGCGUAUACUAAAGUUGUUGCAGUUAAAAAGCUCGUAGUUGGAUUUCUGCGGGGACGGAGCGGCCGGACGCAACUUGCGUCUCGAGCUAGCGCUUUCCCCACAUCCUGCCGCGAACCGUGCUACCAUUAGCUUGGUGGCGCUGGGGAUCGGCUCGAUUACUUUGAGAAAAAUAGAGUGUUCAAAGCAGGCCACACGCCUUGAAUAAGUUAGCAUGGAAUAAUGAUUAAGGACUUCGGUUCUAUUUUGUUGGUGUUCGGGACUGAAGUAAUGAUUGAUAGGGACAGUUGGGGCGGUCUGUAUUCCAAAGCGAGAGGUGAAAUUCUUAGACCUUCGGAAGACAAACAGCUGCGAAAGCGUUCCGCAAGGAUGUUCCCUUUGAUCAAGAACGAAAGUUGGGGGAUCGAAGACGAUCAGAUACCGUCGUAGUCUCAACUAUAAACUAUACCAGCUAGGGAUCGGCCAACGUUUAACUUUAUCGACUUGGUCGGCACCUUAUGAGAAAUCAAAGCAUCUGGGUUCCGGGGGGAGUAUGGUCGCAAGGCUGAAACUUAAAGGAAUUGACGGAAGGGCACCACCAGGCGUGGAGCCUGUGGCUUAAUUUGACUCAACACGGGAAAACUUACCAGGUCCAGACAUAGGAAGGAUUGACAGAUUGAUAGCUCUUUCUUGAUUCUGUGGGUGGUGGUGCAUGGCCGUUUUUAGUCGGUGAAGUGAUUUGUCUACUUAAUUGCGUUAACGGACGAGACCCCAGCCUGCUAAAUAGCGCGGCCGAGCUUUGCUCGGUGCGAGCUUCUUAGAGGGACCAUGAUGCGCGAUAGCACAAGGAAGUUUGGGGCAACAACAGGUCUGUGAUGCCCUUAGAUGUUCUGGGCCGCACACGGGCUACACUGGCGCCUGCAACGAGCAUAUCAGCUGGCCCGAGAGGGUCUUGGCUAAUCUUUGGAACCGGCGCCGUGCUUGGGAUUGACCAUUGCAAUUGUUGGUCAUGCAACGAGGAAUGCCUUGUAAACGCGAGUCAUCAGCUCGCAUUGAAUACGUCCCUGCCCUUUGUACACACCGCCCGUCGCUCCUACCGAUGAAUGUUCCGAUGAAAUUUUCGGAGAGCGCCAGAGAACGGGGCUCUGCCUUGCAGAUCUGGAGGCUCAAAGUCACUUAAAUCUGAACAUUUCGAGGAAGGAGAAGUCGUAACAAGGUAACC